This 361-nucleotide unclassified non-coding RNA is filed under the name uncultured Clavariaceae. Its description in RNAcentral is "sequence contains ITS1". The stretch from base 1 to 105 matches the Rfam family "5.8S ribosomal RNA", at positions 50 to 154 of the family's 154-position model. The record is from RNAcentral. Lineage: Eukaryota; Fungi; Basidiomycota; Agaricomycetes; Agaricales; Clavariaceae.
GAAUUGCGAUACGUAAUGUGAAUUGCAGAAUUCAGUGAAUCAUCGAAUCUUUGAACGCACCUUGCGCCCUUUGGUAUUCCGAAGGGCAUGCCUGUUUGAGUGUCAUUAAAUUCUCAACUUCAAUAACUUUGUUGUCAUUGAAGCUUGGACUUUGGAGGUUAUUGCAGGCAUAUAAUGUCAGCUCCUCUUAAAUGCAUUAGCAGAAUUUGUUAAGGAUCGGCUUUGGUUUGAUAAUAUAUCUAUGCCGUCGCUGUGAACUUCUAGUGUUGAGCUUCUAAUUGUCCUUUAUGGACUGUCUCUUUAUGAGGCAUACACUUUUAAGCUUGACCUCAAAUCAGGUAGGAUUACCCGCUGAACUUAA